RNAcentral lists this ribosomal RNA (497 nucleotides) under uncultured bacterium. Its description in RNAcentral is "partial 16S ribosomal RNA". It matches the Rfam family "Bacterial small subunit ribosomal RNA", at positions 28 to 507 of the family's 1533-position model. The record is from RNAcentral.
GAUGAACGCUGGCGGCGUGCCUAAUACAUGCAAGUCGAGCGAACAGACGAGGCUCUUGCUCCUCUGACGUUAGCCGCGGACGUGUGAGUAACACGUGGAUAACCUACCUAUCAGACUGAGAUAACUUCGGGAAACCGGAGCUAAUCCCGGAUAAUCUAUUGAACCGCAUUGUUCAAUGGUGAAAGACGGUUUUGCUGGCACUUAUCGAUGGAUCUCGGCCGCUUUGGAUAGUUGGUAAGUUAACGGCUUACCAAGGCUACGAUGCGUAACCGACGGGAGAGGGGGGUAGCCCGCAUGGGAGCGGGACCAGGGUCAUGGCUCCUGAGGGAGGCACCAGUAGGGAAUCGUCCGCAGUGGGCGAAAGCCUGACGGAGCAACGCCGCGUGAGUGAUGAAGGUCUUCGGAGCGUAAAACUCUGUUAUUAGGGAAGGACAAAUGUGUAAGUAACUAUGCACGGCUUGACGGUACCUAAUCAGAAAGCCACGGCUAACUACGUG